ACUGGUGUGACUCAGUUGGUAGAGCAUGGUGCUUGCAAGGCCAGGGUUGUGGGUUCGAUUCCCACAGGGGGACCGGUA
This 78-nucleotide transfer RNA is filed under the name Dallia pectoralis (Alaska blackfish). RNAcentral's name for it is "tRNA-OTHER". The stretch from base 8 to 65 matches the Rfam family "tRNA", at positions 8 to 63 of the family's 71-position model. Rfam says of the family: Transfer RNA (tRNA) molecules are approximately 80 nucleotides in length. Their secondary structure includes four short double-helical elements and three loops (D, anti-codon, and T loops). Lineage: Eukaryota; Metazoa; Chordata; Actinopteri; Esociformes; Umbridae. The record is from RNAcentral.